AAAGUCGUAACAAGGUCUCCGUUGGUGAACCAGCGGAGGGAUCAUUACCGAGUUUACAACUCCCAAACCCAUGUGAACCUUACCAUCGUUGCUUCGGCGGAACGCCCCGGGUGCCUUGUGUACCCCGGAAUCAGGCGCCUGCCGGGGGACCCAAACUCUUGUUUUAUUAGUGGUAUCUUCUGAGUUUUUAUAAAUAAAUUAAAACUUUCAACAACGGAUCUCUUGGUUCUG
RNAcentral lists this unclassified non-coding RNA (231 nucleotides) under Ascomycota sp. RNAcentral describes it as "partial contains small subunit ribosomal RNA, internal transcribed spacer 1, and 5.8S ribosomal RNA". The stretch from base 1 to 47 matches the Rfam family "Eukaryotic small subunit ribosomal RNA", at positions 1785 to 1831 of the family's 1831-position model. The record is from RNAcentral. Lineage: Eukaryota; Fungi; Ascomycota.